This is a ribosomal RNA of 523 nucleotides. The stretch from base 192 to 345 matches the Rfam family "5.8S ribosomal RNA".
UUUUACCACUUGUUGCCUCGACAGUUUAAAACUAUCCGGUUGUCUAUAGCUUCAUGUUGUGGACAGCUUACCCUGCUAAGCACCUACCCUGUAGGAGCUUACCCGGUAACUCUGCGGAUAGUCUGUCGGUGGACUACUUUAAACUCUUGUUUUUAUAAUGCCAAUCUGAAUUUUUAUACUUAAUAAGUUAAAACUUUCAACAACGGAUCUCUUGGUUCUGGCAUCGAUGAAGAACGCAGCGAAAUGCGAUAAGUAAUGUGAAUUGCAGAAUUCAGUGAAUCAUCGAAUCUUUGAACGCACAUUGCGCCCAUUAGUAUUCUAGUGGGCAUGCCUGUUCGAGCGUCAUUUCAACCCUUAAGCCUUGCUUAGUGUUGGGAAUCUACUAGUUCUCUAGUAGUUCCUUAAAUCUAGUGGCAGAGUCUAGGUACACUCUGAGCGUAGUAAUUUAUUAUCUCGCUUCUGUCAGUUGCCUAUACGAUAGCCAUAAGCCUAUAUUUUUAAUGGUGACCUCGGAUCAGGUAGG